Molecule: ribosomal RNA, 402 nt
Filed under: uncultured bacterium
Lineage: Bacteria
Description: bacterial SSU rRNA
Rfam family: Bacterial small subunit ribosomal RNA
Source: RNAcentral
UAGGGAAUAUUGGACAAUGGGUGCGAGCCUGAUCCAGCCAUGCCGCGUGCAGGAAGACGGCCUUCUGGGUUGUAAACUGCUUUUGCCAGGGGAUAAAAAGUCCCUGCGGGGAAAAUUGAAGGUACCUGGUGAAUAAGCCACGGCUAACUACGUGCCAGCAGCCGCGGUAAUACGUAGGUGGCAAGCGUUGUCCGGAUUUAUUGGGUUUAAAGGGUGCGUAGGUUGUGUUGUAAGUCAGUGGUGAAAUCCGGCAGCUUAACUGUCGAUGUGCCAUUGAUACUGCAGCACUUGAGUACAGACGAGGUAGGCGGAAUUGACGGUGUAGCGGUGAAAUGCUUAGAUAUCGUCAAGAACACCGAUAGCGAAGGCAGCUUACUAGACUGUAACUGACACUGAUGCACG